This is a non-coding RNA of Pangasianodon gigas (Mekong giant catfish), 66 nucleotides long. The record is from the annotation of a GenBank genome assembly. NCBI's taxonomy places the organism in Eukaryota, Metazoa, Chordata, Actinopteri, Siluriformes, Pangasiidae.
UCCCUGGAGGACUAGUGGUUAGGCCUCGGUGCUCUCACCUCCAGGGUUCAAUUCCCAGCCAGGGAA